AUGGCCACCUACCCCCUACUCCUCCUCCUCCUCCUCGGCGCCGUCGCCGUAGCCGCGUCGUCGGCGUCCGCGGAGGACACCCCAACGGCGUACGAGAUGCUGGAGCGGUACGACUUCCCGCGGGGCAUCCUGCCGGAGGGGGUGGAGGGGUACGAGCUCGGCCCGGACGGCGGCUUCGAGGUCUACUUCCCGCGGGAGUGCGAGUUCCUGCUGGCGAAGCAGUGGCUGGUCAGGUACGACGCCCGCAUCGCCGGCGCCGUCACCGCGGGCAGGCUGGCGGCGCUGGAGGGCGUCCACGUCAAGGUGCUCUUCCUGUGGCUCCCCGUCGCCGAGGUCGACCGCGCCGGCGACCGCCUCAGCUUCUACGUCGGCCCCGUCUCCACGUCCUUCCCGCUGAGCUCCUUCGCCAGCAGCCCGCACUGUCGCGGCUACGACGCCGUCGCCGCGGCCGUCUCGUGA
RNAcentral lists this ribosomal RNA (459 nucleotides) under Triticum aestivum (bread wheat). Its description in RNAcentral is "partial small subunit ribosomal RNA". Lineage: Eukaryota; Viridiplantae; Streptophyta; Magnoliopsida; Poales; Poaceae. The record is from RNAcentral.